This 274-nucleotide ribosomal RNA is filed under the name uncultured bacterium. RNAcentral's name for it is "partial 16S ribosomal RNA". It matches the Rfam family "Bacterial small subunit ribosomal RNA", at positions 523 to 796 of the family's 1533-position model. The record is from RNAcentral.
AUACGGAGGGGGCGAGCGUUAUUCGGAAUCAUUGGGCGUAAAGGGCGCGUAGGCGGCCUGACAAGUCAGGGGUGAAAUCCCUCGGCUCAACCGAGGAACUGCCUCUGAAACUGUCAGGCUUGAGGCCGGGAGAGGGUAGUGGAAUUCCCAGUGUAGCGGUGAAAUGCGUAGAUAUUGGGAGGAACACCAGUGGCGAAGGCGGCUACCUGGACCGGUUCUGACGCUGAGGCACGAAAGUGUGGGGAGCAAACAGGAUUAGAAACCCUAGUAGUCC